This 319-nucleotide ribosomal RNA is filed under the name uncultured eukaryote. RNAcentral's name for it is "partial 18S ribosomal RNA". It matches the Rfam family "Eukaryotic small subunit ribosomal RNA", at positions 1470 to 1796 of the family's 1831-position model. The record is from RNAcentral.
CCCUUAGAUGUCCUGGGCCGCACGCGUGCUACACUGACGCCUACAGCGAGUACUUCCCAGCCCCGAGAGGUGGCUGGUAAUCAGCAAUAGGCGUCGUGAUGGGGAUAGAUCUUUGGAAUUAUGGAUCUUGAACGAGGAAUGCCUGGUAAGCGCAGGUCAUUAGCCUGCGCUGAUUAAGUCCCUGCCCUUUGUACACACCGCCCGUCGCUCCUACCGAUUUCGAGUGGUCCGGUGAAUCUUUCGGACUGCGCGCGGCCUCGUGCCGUGUCGCGGAAAGUCAGGUAAACCUUAUCACUUAGAGGAAGGAGAAGUCGUAACA